RNAcentral lists this long non-coding RNA (482 nucleotides) under Vombatus ursinus (common wombat). RNAcentral's name for it is "lncRNA (ENSVURG00010001266.1)". The record is from RNAcentral. Lineage: Eukaryota; Metazoa; Chordata; Mammalia; Diprotodontia; Vombatidae.
AAAGAGAUGGGACUGACCAUCCUUUGACCUUUCACUUUCCCUCUGCUUCCUUAUAGUCCCUAAUCACCCCUGCAAGGUGAACAAUGGUGGCUGCAGCAACUUGUGUCUGCUUUCUCCUGGUGGGGGCCACAAAUGUGCCUGUCCCACCAACUUCUACCUGGGAGGUGAUGGGCGUACAUGUGUGUCCAACUGUACAGCCAGUCAGUUCGUGUGUAAGAAUGAUAAGUGUAUCCCCUUCUGGUGGAAAUGUGACACAGAGGAUGACUGUGGUGACCACUCUGACGAACCUCACGAUUGUCCUGAGUUCAAGUGCCGUCCAGGGCAAUUUCAGUGCUCAACUGGUAUCUGCACGAACCCAGCCUUCAUAUGUGAUGGUGACAAUGAUUGUCAGGACAACAGUGAUGAGGCCAAUUGUGGUAAGGGAAUUGACCAGUCUCCCCUGUCCUGGCCCACACAGAGGGCCAGAUUCUCUGUACACCUGA